AGCGAACGUUAGCGGCGGGCCUAACACAUGCAAGUCGAGCGAGAAAGUGGCUUCGGCCAUCAGUAAAGCGGCGGACGGGUGAGUAACACGUAGGUAAUCUUCCCUUGAGCGGGGGACAACGUUUCGAAAGGAACGCUAAUACCGCAUAAGUUUUCAGGAACUCUGGUUCCUGGAAGGAAAGCUAGGUCGCAAGAUCCGGCACUCGAGGAGGAGCCUGCGUCGCAUCAGCUAGUUGGGGGGUAAUGGCCUACCAAGGCGAAGACGCGUAGCUGGUCUGAGAGGAUGAUCAGCCACACUGGGACUGAGACACGGCCCAGACUCCUACGGGAGGCAGCAGUGGGGAAUAUUGGACAAUGGGCGCAAGCCUGAUCCAGCCACGCCGCGUGAGUGAUGAAGGCC
RNAcentral lists this ribosomal RNA (399 nucleotides) under uncultured bacterium. RNAcentral describes it as "bacterial SSU rRNA". It matches the Rfam family "Bacterial small subunit ribosomal RNA", at positions 29 to 416 of the family's 1533-position model. The record is from RNAcentral.